Acinonyx jubatus (cheetah) is the source of this 5051-nucleotide long non-coding RNA. RefSeq lists it as uncharacterized. The record is from RefSeq and is a predicted model, not a curated record. Lineage: Eukaryota; Metazoa; Chordata; Mammalia; Carnivora; Felidae. The transcript has 3 exons.
GGCUCUCGGAGUCCCAGGAAGCUUCUAGAAAAGGGAAAGGGAUACAGUGUGAUUUGGGAGCUUUCCAAUAGUUGGGAUACCUUAUUUCCACACAGAACCAGCCUCUGCCCUGAGUUCAGAUAUCUCUUAGUAGGUCUCAGCUCUCAGCAAUAUUACCGGUUCUAGGAACCUGCCCCCAUCAAAGGGACUCCACCCCUUCCCUGGCCACUGCUGAUUGGACUGGGCUGGCCACCUGACUCAGGCUGGAUUAAUCCAUUUUCUCUGCCAGGAAAUCAGACAGAGGUAAGGGGUCUUUGAUACUGUGUCCCUUGAUGGCUGUUUUCCACGGCAACUGGCCUCAGAGCCCUGCUGCUGACCUUCAGGAUUGCCCGGUCCCUGCCCUUCCUGGAUCCUGGCUCUUCAGCUUCCCUCCAUCUUGUGACACACUCUGGCAUCCUCCUACUGAAUUCCACCUUUGGCUGAGUUGGCUUCUGCCCCUGGCCUCCAAAAGCACCUUCACUACUACAGACUGGCCGAGGGAGUUGGGAUCGGAGUUAGUGUGUCGAAGGUUGUCCCUGUGAUUCCAAAUUGGGCCGUCCCUAAGAAAUGGGCCCAUCUGGUCAGUUUCCUAAAGAAACCACGAGAUGCCAAGGCUGAAGCUGUCGUUUGUUGAAAGAGCUGUGGCAGCCUGUGGCAGCCUGGGAAAGACACUUUGUGCUGCAGCUGGCACUCGCCCCUGAGAUGCCGGAAGCUCAUCAGUGAGGGGCAUAGGAAGAAGCGAGCUAAGGGGAGGCUGGCGGGGGCCUGCACGGGGCAUCACCCUCAUUCCUCGUUGGACAGAGCCCGCUAGGGGAUGAAAGAGAUGUUCAAGAUCACUCCCAUAGUUCUGGGAGGCAGGGAAACUUCAGUGAAUGAGAUUCCCGUUUCUGGAAAUUUACCUGAAGGCUGGUGUGGUAGGUGAGACAGCCCCCUGCAAUCCCUGCCCCUGGUGGUCAGGUCCCCGUGCAGUCUCCUCCCAUGUUAACUAGGGCUGACCUGGGCGACCAGUAGGAUAUGGCAUGUGGUUCUUGAGGCUAUGUCAUAAAAGACCUCAUAGCUUCAGCCUUCUCUUCGGGAUCACUCACUGUGGGGAAGCCAGCCACCAGCCCUACAGAGAGGCCCACGAGGUGAGGAACUCAGGUCACCUGCCAAGCAUCAGCACCCACUUGUCAACCAGGUGAGUGAGCCACAUCCCAGUCAAGCCUUCAAGCGCCUGCAAUCCCAUCGGGCAUCUUGACCACAACUUCAUGCGAGACCCUGGGUCAGAGCCCCCACAGAAUCUGUGAGACAAUAAAUGUCUGUUGUUUUCAGCUGCUAAGUCUGGGGGCGAUCUAGCAAUAGACGACUAAUAAUGGAGGAUGAGUAUGUGCUGGCUCGGAACUUUCCAGAAAACGUCACAAAGGGGACUACGGGAUAAAACUUGCAUCAAGGGGACCUCGGGCACCAAAGGCAGCCAUGGGGAUUCCCUGACUUCUAUAUCAGGGAGAAGGGGAAGGGAAACCCCUUUGGCAAUUGAGGGAAUGGAGCCCAGACCAUUGGAAAUAGCUGCUAACGCCCGUGUUCUUUUAGGGUCUGUCCGGCUUCAUCACCAUGACAGACAAAAUAAGUUUAACAGAAAAUAUCGGGAUUGCUGAGUGCCCCUCCUCGGGAUAGUGAGAGACCCACCUCUUCUCCUGUGUCUACCAGUCCAGUGGACGCCAUCCUGUUUUGCUUGCAAGCAAAUGAGUCCUGUUCACAGCACAAAGAAGUUUUGUCUGGUAGAAAAGAGACUCAUGAUUUUACCUUUCUGAGAAUUAUAUCUGAGCAGAUCGCUGGUCCCCAAGGAAUCUACAAAGUCUCUCGCACCAUCCAUCCCUCCUGCCCCCCAAUCUGUUCAGGUGGCACCAGCAGCUGCAUCCUCUGGGUCGCCACUGUGCCCAGAACAGACUUCGAGGACAAGCUGCCCUUGUGUGCUUCUCUGCCAGCGUCUCCCUCCAGACUGCCAGCUCCCGAGGGUAGGGGCCAGGUCUGAUUCUUGCUGGAUCUGCAGAGCUCAGUAGAUGCUGUUGAAUGAAUUUAUGAAUAUACUUGGUCUGGACCACACCUCACUGCUGGUGAAGGAGCCUGGUGUAUGGGAAGGGCAAUUCAUUCAUGUGGCCUCUGAGCCUCAGUUUUUGCAUCUGCGAAAUGAGGAUAUUUCCUAUGUGCUGAUGGGAAGGGUGUCUUAAGUAACUGCUGCAUAGUUUCCAUCUUCUUCUUUUAAUUUCUAUCGCCACCUCCCACCCCACCCCCCAGGAUAGUAUGAACAAGAACAGGGUCAUUUCCUCUGACUCUCCACCCUGAAAGGCCCACAGAAAGUGUCCAGUGACGUACUGCCACUCGGUUCAUAAAUGAGAAGGGGCCAGGGUGCCCACAGCCGGCGGACAAGCAGCAGGAUCUACUCAGCAGAAGCCUUGCACUCCAAUGCUGGGGGGUUGAGGGCAAAGGGAGGGCUGGAGACCCGAACACGAACAGGAACCCCAAGGAAAUAACUGAAGGGAGAGAAUGGCUGGAAGAGGCUGGAUUUCAAGAAGCCACAAGUCCCGGCCCCAGCCCCAGGAACGCACCUGCUUCUCUGGCCCCUCCUUCCCUAAACAGCAUCAUCUGCUGAGAAAGCAGACUUCUGAAUUCCUGGGGUUCGGGCGCCAUCUCGUGGCCAUUUCUGAAACUGCCCAUCCCGGCUGAGCAGAGCCCAGAGGUCCAAGAGCAACGGGGAACCAGGCCAACACUCCUCCAACUUUCCUGGCCCCCACCCUCUUCAUCCUCACCUUCUCCCUUCCAUUUAUUGAGCACUGAAUAUAUUCCAGUCUCCGUGUUCAGCCCCUUUCAGGACUUUAGCACGUUUAAUUCUUGGAACAACCUUAAAAGGCAGGUAACACUAGUACCAUUUUACAGAUGAUGAAAGUGAGGCACAGAGAGGAAAAGGAGGUUUCCCAAGGCCGUACAGCUAAGGAAGUGGGCUAGAAGAGCUCCUCUCUGUACAGGAGAGGGGACAGUGAGGCAUUUGAUCCUGCUGCUUCGGAGACAGUUGGCUUUGCGGUCCUUUAGCUCUAAUUCAAAUACCUUUUCGGUGCUGACUCUGUGCCAGACCCUGCACUGGGUGCAGUUACUGGGGUCCAGUAACCCCCUCAGUCCCUAUUAACCCCCUCCAUGGCACUUAUCACUGUAUGGUCUGAUUUCCUUCUUCAGUGUCCAUCUCCCACCAAAACUGUGGGCUUCCUGAGACAUAGGGACCGAUAGUCUGUUUUCUUUGCUGCUGCAUCUCUAGAACUCCGAACUGAUCUCAGAACACAGAAUCAGUGCCCCAUUAACAUUUGUGAAUGACCUAACAAAUCAGUGAAUGAGUACAAUUAAAACAAAACAAAACAAAAAAACAACUAGGGGCACCUGGCUGGCUUGGUGAGAAGAGCAUGCGACUCUUGAUCUUGGGGUCAUGAGUUCGAGCCCCACACUGGGGGUAGAGAUGACUCAAAAAUAAAAUCUUUAAAAACGUAAAAGAACUACAAGAACUAAAAACAAAACAAAACCCACCAACUAGUCUCUGCCGUCAAGGCACUGACAGUCUAGUGUGGAAGGCAGAUUGGUAAAGGGCAGGUGUGGUUCCUGUCCCCACCCCUCCCCCUCCUCCCCCCCCAACCCCGCCUUCCCUCAGUGCUUUCCCAGAGGGAGCUUCAGGAGCCCAGAAAAGGCUCCUAACGUAGCCCUGCCCCGAGCCCUGAGGACAAGGCAGCAGAGCUGAGACUCACACAGGAAGGAAGGGAAAAGGCUCUACAGGUAGAGACCACAGGGCGAGCAAGUGCCUGGAGAGGAGAGCCCGCCUGCCGGAGCCUGCUUGCCCUGUGCGCACUGUGAACUCCAAGCCUCCAGGAGGACCGUCAGGGGAAGGGGAGAGGCCAGAGGGGAAUUCACCCAGCUAGCCACUUCAGACAAAUCCCUCCCUCGACUCGGCCUCAUAUUCCUCCUCCCCAAAAUGGGAACGAGGCGAGGAUGAAAUGAGACACAGGGCUGGCACACAGAAGGGAAGCUUAGGUCCCCCAAUGGCUUGCCCCACAACCCCGGAUGCACUUCAGGGGCAUAGCCUGGGGUGGGGUGGGCAGUAGCUGGGCUCCGGAGGCCACCAGGAAGUAGCCUGAGACUCAGCGCUGGAGGGGGGAAGCACAGCGCCAUCUGCUUUAAAUCAGCAGCGCCUCAGAGGUGGCAGCACAAGGAGGUCCCUGGGUCCGAGUACCCAACCCCACGAGACAGCAGGUCCGCCCUGUGAUGAAUGCACGGGCACCAAGUCGAGGAGGAACCAGGCCGGGCCUCACAGAGAGGGCACGGGAUAGAGACCCUCGGAGGAGCCAAUAAUCCUUUCUUGUUUAUUAAGCAUCUUCUGUGUUCCAGCUAUUAGAAACCCUGGCAAAGCAGCAGACGGUAAGCCAACGUAGUGUGUGUGCGUGGUGGUGUUGAAAAUUUCUUCUAGGGAGAAAAAUAAACACAGGAAGGGGAAUAGGGACUGUGGGGGUGGUUGGCAAUUUUAAAUAGAAUGGUGCCGGAGAGCCUUCAGAGAAGAGACCUUCAAAUAGAGACCAGAAGAUGUGGUAUGGGAGGAAGCCGUGAGGAUAUCUAAGGGAGGAGGGUCCGGGGCUGAGGGGAAAGCAAGUGCAAAUGCCCUGGGGCAACAUCGUGCCUGCUGUGGUUCAAGGAGCAGUAAAGAAACCAGAGAGGGGACUGAGUGGGCAGAGGUAGGGGCCGGAUGGAGUAGGGCCGUCUAGACCACUGGGAAGCCCAAAUGAGCGUCUAACAUGUAGCGACAGAGGUACACGAUAGGAGAAAAGCACAGACCCGCUCAUUAGGCAACUCUAAACUUGUGUCUCAUUACCCAGCCACACCUCCCGCAGUGCGCUAUGAAUUAAUAUUUUCUAUAAAUCCUGUAAUUAUCCUGUGAAUAGCACAAUUAUAUUGCAUUGUAUUUUGUGUGUUAAAAGCACUCAUUUGUUAAAUGUAAACAUUUAAAAUAUACCACGUAUUAUGCA